AUUGAACGCUGGCGGCAUGCCUUACACAUGCAAGUCGAACGGUAACGCGGGGCAAUCUGGCGACGAGUGGCGAACGGGUGAGUAAUGCAUCGGAACGUGCCCAGUAGUGGGGGAUAGCCCGGCGAAAGCCGGAUUAAUACCGCAUACGACCUACGGGUGAAAGGGGGGGAUCGCAAGACCUCCUGCUAUUGGAGCGGCCGAUGUCAGAUUAGGUAGUUGGUGGGGUAAAGGCCCACCAAGCCUUCGAUCUGUAGCUGGUCUGAGAGGACGACCAGCCACACUGGGACUGAGACACGGCCCAGACUCCUACGGGAGGCAGCAGUGGGGAAUUUUGGACAAUGGGCGCAAGCCUGAUCCAGCCAUGCCGCGUGCGGGAAGAAGGCCUUCGGGUUGUAAACCGCUUUUGUCAGGGAAGAAACGCUCUGGGCUAAUACCUCGGGGUAAUGACGGUACCUGAAGAAUAAGCACCGGCUAACUACGUGCCAGCCGCCGCAGUAA
Molecule: ribosomal RNA, 498 nt
Filed under: uncultured bacterium
Lineage: Bacteria
Description: partial 16S ribosomal RNA
Rfam family: Bacterial small subunit ribosomal RNA
Source: RNAcentral